AGGGCACCCGUGAUUGAGUUGGUAUGUUAAGUAAUUUAAAAGGUCAAAUUUUGAUUAUUAUAGGUCUAAUUAUACCAUUAUUUAAGCUAUAUUCUAAAACAAGGAUUAGAUACCCUUUUAUUAUUAGUAUAGAUAACAAUUGGGGACUACAAGCAAUUGCUUAAAAACCCAAGAUUUUGGCGGUGUCUUAUUCUAUCAGAGGGAUCUGUCUCGUAAUCGACAACCCACGAAACAAUUAUCUUAUUUUGAUUAUGAGCUUGUGUACUGCCGUUUGUAUAGGCCCUUAAGGUUACCUAUAAUUAACUUAAUUAAGUUUUAUGACAGGUCAAAGUGCAGCAAAUAUUAAGAAGAAGAUGGAUUACAUUCUAUAACAUAGUCUAUAAAUACGGUUAAACCAUUUUUUAUGAAGAAUUUGAUAGUAAUAUUAUCUAUGUGGUACUAUGAAUAAGAUCUUAAGACAAGCACAUAUCGCCCGUCACUCCUUUAUAUAGGAUAAGUCGACCAAAAGUAAAGG
This 514-nucleotide ribosomal RNA is filed under the name Dina sp. KDD-2021. Its description in RNAcentral is "partial small subunit ribosomal RNA". The record is from RNAcentral. Lineage: Eukaryota; Metazoa; Annelida; Clitellata; Hirudinida; Erpobdellidae.